RNAcentral lists this long non-coding RNA (613 nucleotides) under Centruroides sculpturatus (bark scorpion). RNAcentral's name for it is "uncharacterized LOC111639831". The record is from RNAcentral. Lineage: Eukaryota; Metazoa; Arthropoda; Arachnida; Scorpiones; Buthidae.
GAAUUCGAUAUUCUCAAAGAAGGAACUGCUUGGCGCCGCGUAUCCAGUCAUCCUCACAUUGUCACUUUUAUUGGUAUUUUCGAAACUGAUAUUAGUCACUGUUUCGUCUGUGAUUACGUGAAUGGAGAGAAUUUGACCGACUUCUUGGAAAUAAACGGAAUAUUAUCGGAAUUCCAAGCUAAGACGAUCGGUGCACAACUUGCUUCGGCCAUCAUUUACAUUCACGAUAAAGAAAUUAUUCACAGAGAUAUAAGCUCAAACAACAUCUUAAUAGAUAAAAAAAAAUGGAGCACAUUUGAUUGACUUUGGUCUAUGUACAUUCGAACGCCGUCCAACAGACUUCUGCGGCACUCUGUUCUAUUUAUGCCCAGAAAUUCUUCAACAGACAGAAUACGACGCUUACUGCGAUUGGUGGGCGUUUGGAGUUGUAUUAUACCAGAUUCUGGUUGGAAAAACUCCAAUAGAAGUUUAUCUAGAAACACUUAUGACCUUUGACGAUUUCCAGACAUUGCUGAUAACGGAACAAAUCAAAAUUGUUGAAAAAGUGGAGUUAACGUAUCCUUUUGAACUAUCGGAGGAUGCCAAACAAAUAAUCCAGGAUUUGUUACAGAAA